CUUUAUCCAUUUUAUAUAUGGCAACUUUUUAAUACCAAAAUUGUGUUGGCUUAGUGGUAAGGAAAGAUUCAAUUUUGAGGUUGGUGAUUAUUCCCCAAAACGGAUACUUUAAGAGUAGGAAUCCCUCCGAACCCCCCCCCCCCCAUAUUGAAGAAUGAGAAAAAUCAAACUACUCUAUAAUCCGCCUUAAAGUCACCUUAUGGUAUAUUUUAAUAAAUAUUUAGUUUUUAACUUUUUACACACAUAAAAAUAAAUAUAAAAUCGUCAUAAACGUAUCGCGAAUAUCACAAAAAGUCAAAUAAGACAUACUCAGUUGUAGAGACGAAGUACUAGGGAUUUAGGAAGGAAUCGUACUCAAACGUACUAUAUAAUUGAACUAAACCAAAGCCUUUCUGAAAAGCUAAAACCCUCCGUAAAAAAAAUAAAAAAAUAUUAAUAAAAAAAAAAACUUCUCGAAGAAGCUAAAUCAAAGCUUCUCAAGGAAGUUAAAGCAAAAUUUAACUCCACUCCCAUUUCUAAAGUUGAUUAAAAUGUUCUCCUGAGUACGGAGUACUUUAUUUUACUCAAGGAAGCUUCUCAAAAAAGCUAAUUGCAGUUAAUUCUGUAAACUAUGCAGCUCUUUUAGAUGGCUUAUUCUGGAACUUGCGUCCUAGGAUUCUGUCAAUAGAGCUUAAUCUUUGUGCUCCUAAUUUUGUGAAGGAGUUACUGAAAUUUUUGGUGGCUGAAGAACCCAAUUGUUACUGCUCUUAGAAUCGUGAAUGUUGGCGUCACUCGUUGAAGGAUAUAAAGCUGAUUAGUAGUGUGAAAGGUGCUAAGCUCUUCCGGAUAUGCUGUGUUGUUGCUGCUCCCAUUCCCAAAGCUUUAUCAUAACCUGCGCUAUUGCCUUCCCAAUACACAGUUCGGCUCGCACCAGUACUAUUCAAGUCAUCAGGCAGGUCUUCCAGUUGUUACACAAUCUUCUGAAUUCAUUUGUAACUCACUAAAGAUAUUUUGUACAAUUAGAAGAUCCUUUUGAAUUGUUGGACACUAUCUACUGCUUGGUUUGUACUUAAACAGCUUUCGAAACCAAUAACUUUCCUAUAUAAAUACUUUGCUUUUUGUAACUUAAUGAUUU
This is a long non-coding RNA of Chenopodium quinoa (quinoa), 1114 nucleotides long. RefSeq lists it as uncharacterized. NCBI's taxonomy places the organism in Eukaryota, Viridiplantae, Streptophyta, Magnoliopsida, Caryophyllales, Amaranthaceae. The record is from RefSeq and is a predicted model, not a curated record. The transcript has 4 exons.